Molecule: long non-coding RNA, 1146 nt
Organism: Anneissia japonica
Lineage: Eukaryota; Metazoa; Echinodermata; Crinoidea; Comatulida; Comatulidae
Exons: 2
Source: RefSeq, a predicted model, not a curated record
GGAGGCAGUAGUGUUUUGCUGCAGUGACAUCUCGGUGCUGGCGACUCGCUGCUGGCGAUGACUCGCUGCUGGCGAAUCGAUCUGCGCAUGUGUAUAAAAUGGUAUUUACUUCCGAAAACAUGCCUGCUGCACGCGCUCACUUUUCUCUGACUGAAACUCAGUUCCUGGCAAGUUGCGGAGAUCAUGUAAUUAAGGCAGCUUCCACAUCCAAUUCUUUAUUUGUACUCUAUGAAAUAGAGACAGAAUAUAUGAAGAACUUUGACUAGUAUCGAAUAGCCUUGCUUGAAGCUGUUGCAGCAUCCAAAAGAAAAUCUACAGCUACCUUCCUGUUUGGUAACAAAUCCAUGCUGCGUUCAUAACAAAAUGGAAGACUUGCAAGUCAUAAUGGCCGUAUUUGACUGGUCGUUCUUCAUUAAACCACGCCCACUUGAGCAGUGGUAAUAUCCUACUUAACGAAGAAGACCUUUUGAAUAUAAAACUGGUAAAUACUCAACAAAACAAAAAGGCUACAUAGUUAUCCCAAUGAUACAUCAUGCAUAAUCAAGGUUUAAAAAAAAAAUAAAUGUUUUCAUCCAGUUUUUAAAUUCUGUUAGCCUAUAAUUAUUUUUUGACUUCAUGUGCGUAAAUGUUAAAAUUUUUAAUUUCUGAAAUUUAAUCUAAAUUAUAUUAAUGCAGAGUUGUUGCUAAACCAAUUGGCCAUGUUUGUUUUGGUCACGCGAAUAAUGCUAAUUAACACACACUGGUUUACAUUAAUUUUAUAUCUAUUUUACAAACCAGUAGAAUGGAAAUAAUACUCAACGAAAAAUUGUAGUCAACAAAAUGAACUAGUCAAAUAAGCCCAUUAACAAUUUAUGCAGGUGUUGUGUAUGCUGUCAAAAACCAGGUUCAAUAGCAAUGGAAUUGCUCCAGAGGAGGAUGAGGGGUGGCAACAUAACACUAUACUCUCUAGCAGUCAGGGCCCAGCCAGAGGGGUGUUGAGGGGUUUUAACACUCUCUAAAAUAAAUCGAAAUAAACAAAAAAUCCCGAUAAUGUAGUAGUAAACGUAAAAUAUAGGCCUUUAUGUAUGAUUUAUGUAUUGAUUUAUUAUGAUUUACAGAGGAUCCCGGAGGUACUGUCCAACAGGCCCCCCCCCCCCUUAGAAUAAA